Molecule: non-coding RNA, 21 nt
Filed under: Caenorhabditis elegans
Lineage: Eukaryota; Metazoa; Nematoda; Chromadorea; Rhabditida; Rhabditidae
Source: RNAcentral
UGAUCUUUUUUUUUGGAAAAA